UACGGAGGGUGCAAGCGUUAAUCGGAAUUACUGGGCGUAAAGCGCGCGUAGGUGGCUAAUUAAGUCGGUUGUGAAAGCCCCGGGCUCAACCUGGGAAUUGCAUUCGAUACUGAUUGGCUAGAGUGCAGAAGAGGAAGGUAGAAUUCCACGUGUAGCGGUGAAAUGCGUAGAUAUGUGGAGGAAUACCGGUGGCGAAGGCGGCCUUCUGGUCUGACACUGACACUGAGGUGCGAAAGCGUGGGGAGCAAACAGG
This 253-nucleotide unclassified non-coding RNA is filed under the name uncultured Gammaproteobacteria bacterium. RNAcentral describes it as "contains 16S-23S intergenic spacer region". It matches the Rfam family "Bacterial small subunit ribosomal RNA", at positions 524 to 776 of the family's 1533-position model. Lineage: Bacteria; Pseudomonadati; Pseudomonadota; Gammaproteobacteria. The record is from RNAcentral.